RNAcentral lists this ribosomal RNA (484 nucleotides) under uncultured bacterium. Its description in RNAcentral is "partial 16S ribosomal RNA". It matches the Rfam family "Bacterial small subunit ribosomal RNA", at positions 30 to 507 of the family's 1533-position model. The record is from RNAcentral.
AUUGAACGCUGGCGGCAGGCCUAACACAUGCAAGUCGAGCGGAUGAAGGGAGCUUGCUCCUGGAUUCAGCGGCGGACGGGUGAGUAAUGCCUAGGAAUCUGCCUGGUAGUGGGGGAUAACGUCCGGAAACGGGCGCUAAUACCGCAUACGUCCUGAGGGAGAAAGUGGGGGAUCUUCGGAUCUCACGCUAUCAGAUGAGCCUAGGUCGGAUUAGCUAGUUGGUGGGGUAAAGGCCUACCAAGGCGACGAUCCGUAACUGGUCUGAGAGGAUGAUCAGUCGCACUGGAACUGAGACACGGUCCAGACUCCUACGGGAGGCAGCAGUGGGGAAUAUUGGACAAUGGGCGAAAGCCUGAUCCAGCCAUGCCGCGUGUGUGAAGAAGGUCUUCGGAUUGUAAAGCACUUUAAGUUGGGAGGAAGGGCAGUAAGUUAAUACCUUGCUGUUUUGACGUUACCAACAGAAUAAGCACCGGCUAACUUCGUG